UUAAAGAGAAAGUACCAAGACAAGGCUCCCUUUUUUUUAGAAGAAAGAAAGAAAACAAAAAACAGCAAGCAAACCCUUCAACAUUUUCACAUUUUCACUUUUCAAAGACUCAAGCUUGAAAUCUUUAUAAAAAAAAAUAAAUACAAAACAACAAUGGAAUAAUCCAUCAAGAAUCCACAAAAUGAGUAUGGCAUCAAAGCCAUUUUGCAUAUUCUCUCUUUUCUUAGUUAUAUUUACCAUUUUUAAGCUAACCCCACAAGCUAAAUCUGAUUCUGAUUAUACUAAGUUGAUUUACAAGGGUUGUGCAAAGCAAGAUUUAUCAGAUCCAUCUGGGGUUUACUCACAAGCUCUGUCUUCCCUUUUUGGCACUCUUGUUUCACAGUCCUCAAAGUCUAAGUUCUAUAAGACUAGUACUGGUAGUGGGCAAUCUACAAUUUCUGGUCUUUUUCAGUGUAGAGGUGACCUUUCUAAUGUUGAUUGUUAUAAAUGUGUUAGUGGUUUGCCAAUACUCAUAGAUAAGUUAUGUGGAAGUAAGCCUGUUGCUGCAAGAAUCCAGCUUUAUGGCUGUUACAUGCUAUAUGAGGUUGCUGGUUUCCCUCAAAUCUCUGGAAUGGAGAUGCUGUUCAAGACUUGUAGUGGGAAAAAUGCUCCAGGUAGUGGGUUUGAGGAAAGAAGGGAUACUGCUUUUUCCACAUUGGAAAAUGGCAUGGCUAGUAGCAAUGGCUUCUACACAACAAGCUAUCAGUCUGUUUAUACCAUGGGGCAAUGUGAAGGGGAUGUUGGCUCCGCUGAUUGUGCUGAUUGUGUGAAAAAUGCUGUCCAAAAAGCUCAGGUGGAAUGUGGAAGCUCCGUCUCUGGCCAAAUCUUCCUGCACAAAUGUUUUAUUGGUUAUAGUAAUUCUCCAAAUGGGGUCCCUAGAACAUCACCGUCGUCUUCAGAUUGGUCCCCUUCUUCAUCUUCAGGGUCAGGGCAAAAUGUGGGGAAGACAGUGGCUAUAAUACUAGGAGGGGUAGCUGGAGUGGGGUUUAUACUCAUAUGCGUGCUGUUUGCAAGGAAUCUAAUGAAGAAACAUGACGAUUAUUGAAGGGGUCAGACUUGUUUGCUAUGACCGGCAACGCUUUCCUGAGUGCAUUGCAUAUGUUUUAUCCCCUCAACUCGGAAAAGGUGAAAAAGAACUGAGGACACGACGAUGGCAAGGAAGUCUUCGAUGGUUCAUUUUGUGAUAAAGAAGGGAGAAGAGAGUCUUGUAUGCCUAAGAUUGUCGGAGUUGGCCUCACUUUCGUGAUGCAGGAUCUAAUCGUUGGUUAUUAAGACUUACUUCCGUUCUUUGUUUUCUACGUUGAGUGCUGCUGUUGAAGCACAACGCCUAGUUUGAUACAUGAUCUCCAUGAAGCUCCUCUGACUUCUCAUCAGGUAAGAACAGUAGAAAUUACCAAUGAUUCUUGUGGCACACGUCGAGUUUCUUGCCUGUGUCAAAGUGCCUUGUAGAACAUGUAGUUAGCUGGUCUCUCAGUGCAGACUACAAACCAUAUUGAACUCAUUUCCAAUAUUUGAGAAGUCAUGAAGUGCUGACCUACAAAAGGAUCAAUGAUUGGUAUUCAGUACUCGUAUUGGAAUCUGACUAAUUCAAUUUUGCGUAAUAAAUUUAACUAGACUGUCAUUGCAACAAAAGAAUUUGUAGUAAUAAGUUUUUAUUUAAGUGACUAUUUAUUAAUUUAUGGCAAAACAUUUAUUGCAUCUAAAUAUCAUUUCAUCUUAAGUGGCUAAA
Solanum pennellii is the source of this 1768-nucleotide RNA transcript. It is a transcript of the gene named cysteine-rich repeat secretory protein 3-like, with no coding region annotated. The transcript is spliced from 6 exons. Lineage: Eukaryota; Viridiplantae; Streptophyta; Magnoliopsida; Solanales; Solanaceae. The record is from RefSeq and is a predicted model, not a curated record.